Long non-coding RNA from Andrographis paniculata, 2731 nucleotides. RefSeq lists it as uncharacterized. The record is from RefSeq and is a predicted model, not a curated record. The transcript is spliced from 4 exons. NCBI's taxonomy places the organism in Eukaryota, Viridiplantae, Streptophyta, Magnoliopsida, Lamiales, Acanthaceae.
UUAAUUAGUUUUCAACGUUGAUUUUGAGUGAGAUUCGCCCGCCAUUGGAUAUUUUCCAACCCUUUCAAUUCGAUUUUCCAAGAAUAAAAACCCUUUGCCCCAUCCAAUACAAAUCACCCUUUAUUUUAUUUUUUUUUCUUAGAGAGAGAGAGAGAGAGAGAGAGAGGGGAUUCACAUGAAGAUGAUGGCUCUACUUCUUUUCCUGCUGCUAUUAACUUCAUCUCCUAAUUAUGCAGGUACCUGUCAAGGCAUCAGAUCGGACAUGGAAAGCAUCCCUAAUCUUCCACGCAAGAUAAUGAAUAGAGAGUUGAGAAGCAUGAAAGAUUCAGUAGUAGUGCUGGAUUACUGUCAAGGUGGACCAAACACUUCCCAUGAUCCGCCUGGCAGAGGCAAACACUGUUGACAUAUAUAUAUAUAUAUGUUCAAGAAAUAAUAUAACCACUCAUCACCCAAACACAAUUUAUGCGUUGUGAAAUCAUAUUAUAUAUUCCCAAUCUCCAUGGAUAUUAUAAGUGAUAAAUCAAUGGAGGUAAGGGCAAUUGUUUGUGUCAACAAUCUAUUGGUAGUAUUUGGGAGUUUUGAACUUAAAAUAAUUAAAAAUUAAAUAUUUGGUAUAGAUAUUUUAUAAGAGUAAAUAGUGUUAAAACUUUUAAAAGGGCAUAUGCAAACUGCAAAUUGUCCAUUCCUUGGCCAAAAUGAUAUGCAGUAUCUUGAAUUUGUUGAUUAUGUUAUGUUUAGAAGACAAAUUUUCUUUUCUAAUCAUUUUUGUUGCCGUUCAUCAGAUAAAACUUACUCUUGGGGUUUGAAACCGUACCUCUCCUCGGGAAUAUAGAUCUUUCAUCAAGCCAUUUAUUUUUAAAUUUGUUUAAAGUCCAUGAUUUUAUGGUAACUUAUAAUACCAAAAAAAUGGCCUUUCACCACGGCCCGAGGUUCGUGACAACAACAUCGUAACAAAUAGUGGUUUUAGUUACGUGAAUAUCCGUGACAAAAAAAUAUCAUCCUGGUCAAUGUUUCAAGUUUAUUAGUUAUGCAAAAAAUAUGUAACAAAUAGGGAGAUUGUAGACUUUGAUUAAAAUAUAUUAGUUAUGAUAGUUUUUCGUAACAACUGGUCAAAAUAAUAUUAAUUAAACAAAAAUUUUACAAUAAAAAAAAGGUAAAAAUGCAAGUGCACUUUCACUCAACAGAAAAAAAUAAACACAAACACGCUUCUAGAGAUCUAGGGCAUCAUAUUUCUCAUUCCAGUACUUAGAAAAAUCAAACAAAUUUAGGGCAUAAUAUUUCGUCCCCUCCAACGAUCGACAACUCUCUUCUUUCUUUCGCCGACGAGACGCGCAUAGUUGUGGGAUUGAGCAGAUAGUCCGGCGCCGGCAUCCAAGUAAUGUUUUAAAGUUUUCUCCCGUAUUAUUUGGUGUCGAUUCACAGUUCUUCAUCUUUUCCUAUAUGGAGAAAUCAAAUUAGGGAGUCUUAAUAUCCAGCUUCUUCCUCACGUUGAUACAAAGCUCUGCUUUGGGGAGUAUUUUUAGUGCCAGGCUGCCCUGCCCCUUGUGCAAUUUACUUUUUUUUAUUCUAGAUUUAAGAUAGAACUAUUAUCAAAGUGAUUCUUAAUGUGUGUCUUCAUUAAUAACUCAGCUUCAUAACGAAGAUAAUUCAAUAUUUUUAUCACCACAUUUUCAAAUAUGACUUUGCAAAAAAUUAAUAAAAGAAAUGUGUAUGUAUGAAAUGAAAAAAAUUAAAUAUGAAAACUGGACAAAAUAUUAAUAAAUUUUAAAUAACAAAAUGAACCUGAAAAGCCACAGAGGCUUGUGGAUUAAGGAUUUAUAGUGCGAAUGCCAGAAAUUGAUGAAUUGAUUAAGCAUCAUAUUAGAACGGUGAAAUUGUAAAUGGUGCUAUUCAGACUACUCAAGUUUCUUUAGUAAACUUCUACCAGUCAAUAAAUGUUUUGGAAACAAAAUAAUUUUUGAAGUAGUGAAUCAAUUUCUGAAUAGUAUAAUAAAUAUGAUGUAUGUGUGGAAUGAAGAAGGAAAUUAAACAAAUGGGUUUCGUAACUAAGUCCAUCUAUUUCAUUCCAUGAAUAUAUAUAUACACAUGCACAUGGUAUGCAUUAUCAUCUUCUUAUCAUUGUCUGUAUGUCUGUUAUUGAAAAACUUUUGUACUCAUUACUGCUGCAUUCAUUAAUAUUAGACUGUUUCUUUCCUUAGUCCAGACAUUGUUUUACCAUUUCUUUAGUUAAAUUGUUGUUGUGGGCUUAAAUUAAAUUAGGCGAGCUGUUCAUUUGUUAAUUAUCUUAGCUGUUGUAAAUUAGUUUAGUUUGAUGUGUGAUAUAUUAAUUUAGUGAACCAACAGUCAAUUUAGUUUGUAAUGUAUAUAUCUUAGUUGUUGUUGCAAAUUUAAUUAGUUCUAGCCUACCUAGUUAAUCAAUCUCAUUGUAAUUGUAAUAGGCUUAGUUAGUUUAGAUUGUUUAGGUUAAAUUUCAUUCCUUACUAUGUAUGUGGUACAUUACAUAGUUAAUAUAAUCUACUGUUGUCAUUAUAUUUAGGCUAGUUUAAUUAUGUUGCUCCUUGCUUGGUUAGUUGUUAAUUAGUUAGCUUCGUUCCCAUCAGAAUAAUAGCAUUUCACACUAGUAAUCCUUUCUUUUAGUUUUAUGUACUUCAAAUGUUAAUUCUGCUCUAUCUAGUAUAAUUAUUGACUAAUGUUUUCACUUCUUUUGACUUGUUCUUGUUGCCAUAGUUUU